RNAcentral lists this ribosomal RNA (539 nucleotides) under uncultured bacterium. RNAcentral describes it as "bacterial SSU rRNA". It matches the Rfam family "Bacterial small subunit ribosomal RNA", at positions 777 to 1316 of the family's 1533-position model. The record is from RNAcentral.
AAUAGAUACCCAGGUAGUCCAUGCCGUAAACGUUGGGCGCUAGAUGUGGGGACCAUUCCACGGUUUCCGUGUCGCAGCUAACGCAUUAAGCGCCCCGCCUGGGGAGUACGGCCGCAAGGCUAAAACUCAAAGGAAUUGACGGGGGCCCGCACAAGCGGCGGAGCAUGCGGAUUAAUUCGAUGUAACGCGAAGAACCUUACCAAGGCUUGACAUAUACGAGAACGCUCUAGAAAUAGAGAACUCUUUGGACACUCGUAUACAGGUGGUGCAUGGUUGUCGUCAGCUCGUGUCGUGAGAUGUUGGGUUAAGUCCCGCAACGAGCGCAACCCUCGUUCUAUGUUGCCAGCGGUUCGGCCGGGAACUCAUAGGAGACUGCCGGGGUCAACUCGGAGGAAGGUGGGGAUGACGUCAAAUCAUCAUGCCCCUUAUGUCUUGGGCUUCACGCAUGCUACAAUGGCCGGUACAAAGGGCUGCAAUACCGUAAGUGGAGCGAAUCCCAAAAAGCCGGUCUCAGUUCGGAUUGAGGUCUGCAACUCGUA